GCUCCUGUAGUUAAACGGAUAUAACAGCGGUCUUCGGAACCGCGGUUGGGGGUUCGAUUCCCUCCGGGAGCACAA
RNAcentral lists this transfer RNA (75 nucleotides) under Candidatus Magasanikiibacteriota bacterium. RNAcentral's name for it is "tRNA-Arg". It matches the Rfam family "tRNA". From Rfam's summary of the family: Transfer RNA (tRNA) molecules are approximately 80 nucleotides in length. Their secondary structure includes four short double-helical elements and three loops (D, anti-codon, and T loops). Lineage: Bacteria; Candidatus Magasanikiibacteriota. The record is from RNAcentral.